RNAcentral lists this ribosomal RNA (920 nucleotides) under Staphylococcus aureus. RNAcentral describes it as "bacterial LSU rRNA". It matches the Rfam family "Bacterial large subunit ribosomal RNA", at positions 1508 to 2425 of the family's 2925-position model. The record is from RNAcentral. Lineage: Bacteria; Bacillati; Bacillota; Bacilli; Caryophanales; Staphylococcaceae.
ACGUCUAAGCAGUAAGGCUGAGUAUUAGGCAAAUCCGGUACUCGUUAAGGCUGAGCUGUGAUGGGGAGAAGACAUUGUGUCUUCGAGUCGUUGAUUUCACACUGCCGAGAAAAGCCUCUAGAUAGAAAAUAGGUGCCCGUACCGCAAACCGACACAGGUAGUCAAGAUGAGAAUUCUAAGGUGAGCGAGCGAACUCUCGUUAAGGAACUCGGCAAAAUGACCCCGUAACUUCGGGAGAAGGGGUGCUCUUUAGGGUUAACGCCCAGAAGAGCCGCAGUGAAUAGGCCCAAGCGACUGUUUAUCAAAAACACAGGUCUCUGCUAAACCGUAAGGUGAUGUAUAGGGGCUGACGCCUGCCCGGUGCUGGAAGGUUAAGAGGAGUGGUUAGCUUCUGCGAAGCUACGAAUCGAAGCCCCAGUAAACGGCGGCCGUAACUAUAACGGUCCUAAGGUAGCGAAAUUCCUUGUCGGGUAAGUUCCGACCCGCACGAAAGGCGUAACGAUUUGGGCACUGUCUCAACGAGAGACUCGGUGAAAUCAUAGUACCUGUGAAGAUGCAGGUUACCCGCGACAGGACGGAAAGACCCCGUGGAGCUUUACUGUAGCCUGAUAUUGAAAUUCGGCACAGCUUGUACAGGAUAGGUAGGAGCCUUUGAAACGUGAGCGCUAGCUUACGUGGAGGCGCUGGUGGGAUACUACCCUAGCUGUGUUGGCUUUCUAACCCGCACCACUUAUCGUGGUGGGAGACAGUGUCAGGCGGGCAGUUUGACUGGGGCGGUCGCCUCCUAAAAGGUAACGGAGGCGCUCAAAGGUUCCCUCAGAAUGGUUGGAAAUCAUUCAUAGAGUGUAAAGGCAUAAGGGAGCUUGACUGCGAGACCUACAAGUCGAGCAGGGUCGAAAGACGGACUUAGUGAUCCGGUG